Molecule: ribosomal RNA, 872 nt
Filed under: Umbilicaria cylindrica
Lineage: Eukaryota; Fungi; Ascomycota; Lecanoromycetes; Umbilicariales; Umbilicariaceae
Description: eukaryotic LSU rRNA
Rfam family: Eukaryotic large subunit ribosomal RNA
Source: RNAcentral
UUGCCUCAGUAACGGCGAGUGAAGCGGCAACAGCUCAAAUUUGAAAUCUGGCCGUUCGGCGGUCCGAGUUGUAAUUUGUAGAGGAUGCUUCGGGUGCGGCGCCGGUCUAAGUUCCUUGGAACAGGACGUCAGAGAGGGUGAGAAUCCCGUAUGUGACCGGUGACCCAGCCCGUGUGAAGCUCCUUCGACGAGUCGAGUUGUUUGGGAAUGCAGCUCUAAAUGGGUGGUAAAUUUCAUCUAAAGCUAAAUACCGGCCAGAGACCGAUAGCGCACAAGUAGAGUGAUCGAAAGAUGAAAAGCACUUUGGAAAGAGAGUUAAAAAGUACGUGAAAUUGUUGAAAGGGAAGCGCUUGUGACCAGACUUGCUCGCGGGCGAUCAGCCGUCCUUCUGGGCGGUGCACUCGCCCGUGAUCAGGCCAGCAUCGGUUCGGGCGGCCGGAUAACGGCCCCGGGAAUGUGGCUCCCCUCAGGGAGUGUUAUAGCCCGGGGCGCAAUGCGGCCCGCCGGGACCGAGGACCGCGCUUCGGCUAGGAUGCUGGCGUAAUGGUCGUAAGCGACCCGUCUUGAAACACGGACCAAGGAGUCUAACAUCUGUGCGAGUGUUUGGGUGUCAAACCCAUGCGCGGAAUGAAAGUGAACGGAGGUGGGAACCCUUCAGGGUGCACCAUCGACCGAUCCUGAUGUCUUCGGAUGGAUUUGAGUAAGAGCAUAGCUGUUGGGACCCGAAAGAUGGUGAACUAUGCCUGAAUAGGGUGAAGCCAGAGGAAACUCUGGUGGAGGCUCGCAGCGGUUCUGACGUGCAAAUCGAUCGUCAAAUUUGGGUAUAGGGGCGAAAGACUAAUCGAACCAUCUAGUAGCUGGUUCCUGCCGAA